This 253-nucleotide ribosomal RNA is filed under the name uncultured bacterium. Its description in RNAcentral is "partial 16S ribosomal RNA". It matches the Rfam family "Bacterial small subunit ribosomal RNA", at positions 524 to 776 of the family's 1533-position model. The record is from RNAcentral.
UACGUAGGGACCGAGCGUUGUCCGGAUUUAUUGGGCGUAAAGAGCGUGUAGGCGGCCAGGUAGGUCUGCUGUGAAAACUCGAGGCUCAACCUCGAGACGUCGGCGGAAACCAUCUGGCUAGAGUCCGGAAGAGGAGAGUGGAAUUCCUGGUGUAGCGGUGAAAUGCGCAGAUAUCAGGAGGAACACCGGUGGCGAAGGCGGGUCUCUGGGCCGAUACUGACGCUGAGGAGCGAAAGCGUGGGGAGCGAACAGG